Molecule: long non-coding RNA, 293 nt
Filed under: Panax ginseng (ginseng)
Lineage: Eukaryota; Viridiplantae; Streptophyta; Magnoliopsida; Apiales; Araliaceae
Description: long non-coding RNA (PGIN_LNC003027)
Source: RNAcentral
UUUUGGGAAGCGUUAUCUUCUGAACGAACGCGUCAAUACUGCAUCAUUUUGGGAAGCGCUAUCUACCAGAACAAACACCCCAAAACUACAUCGUUUUGGCCUGAACGGACACACCUUUUUCAGUAAGCCUAAAACUAGGUUGUUUUUUGUUCUGUUAAGACUAAAACUACGUCGCUUUUUUUCCCGAACGAACUUACCUUUCUGUUAAGGCCUAAAACCAUGUCAUUUUGGAUAAAUAGUAUUUUUUUUCAAGGGGUCGUGUCCCUUCUGAUGGGUCACUAAAUAGACAAAGG